This 273-nucleotide ribosomal RNA is filed under the name Stenotrophomonas sp. RNAcentral's name for it is "partial 23S ribosomal RNA". It matches the Rfam family "Bacterial large subunit ribosomal RNA", at positions 2665 to 2925 of the family's 2925-position model. The record is from RNAcentral. Lineage: Bacteria; Pseudomonadati; Pseudomonadota; Gammaproteobacteria; Lysobacterales; Lysobacteraceae.
AGAGGGGCUGCUCCUAGUACGAGAGGACCGGAGUGGACGAACCUCUGGUGUUCCGGUUGUCACGCCAGUGGCAUUGCCGGGUAGCUAUGUUCGGAAGCGAUAACCGCUGAAAGCAUCUAAGCGGGAAGCGCGCCUCAAGAUGAGAUCUCCCGGGGCACAAGCCCCCUGAAGGAACCAUGUAGACUACGUGGUUGAUAGGUCAGGUGUGUAAGUACAGCAAUGUAUUGAGCUAACUGAUACUAAUGAUCCGAGAGGCUUGACCAUAUAACCUCA